RNAcentral lists this ribosomal RNA (499 nucleotides) under uncultured bacterium. RNAcentral's name for it is "partial 16S ribosomal RNA". It matches the Rfam family "Bacterial small subunit ribosomal RNA", at positions 899 to 1397 of the family's 1533-position model. The record is from RNAcentral.
ACUCAAAUGAAUUGACGGGGGCCCGCACAAGUGGUGGAGCAUGUGGUUUAAUUCGAUGCUACGCGAAGAACCUUACCUGGGUUUGACAUCCACUGGAAGGCGCCAGAGAUGGUGUCCGUCCUUCGGGACUGGUGGACAGGUGCUGCAUGGCUGUCGUCAGCUCGUGCCGUGAGGUGUUGGGUUAAGUCCCGCAACGAGCGCAACCCUUGUCCUUAGUUGCCAUCGGGUAAAGCCGGGCACUCUGGGGAGACUGCCAGCAUAAGUUGGAGGAAGGUGGGGAUGACGUCAAGUCAGCAUGGCCCUUACGUCCAGGGCUACACACGUGCUACAAUGACCGGUACAAAGGGCUGCGAAGCCGCGAGGUGGAGCGAAUCCCAAAAAGCCGGCCUCAGUUCGGAUUGCAGGCUGCAACUCGCCUGCAUGAAGGCGGAAUCACUAGUAACUGCAGAUCAGCUACGCUGCGGUGAAUACGUUCCCGGGCCUUGUACACACCGCCCGU